This is a long non-coding RNA of Gallus gallus (chicken), 3744 nucleotides long. NCBI's taxonomy places the organism in Eukaryota, Metazoa, Chordata, Aves, Galliformes, Phasianidae. The record is from Ensembl.
AGAUGAGGAUCUAUCAUGGCAUUUGCUAAGAAUAAAUGAUUUUUUUGUUGUCAGUAUGAAAGCCUACAAUACCAUGUGAGUUCAAGGACCUUAACAGAUUUGAACAUCACCAUUUGAACAUGCGGCAUUAUGAUUUAUUGGUGUCUCCUUACUAUAUCUAUUGAGGCAAUGUUAGCUCUGGUUACUUAACUCUGCUUUCCAUUUGUAUUUUUUUGCCUCCGCCUACUUUAUGUCCAACUAAUGCAUGUUUAAAACAAUAUGAUUUUGUCUUAAGUCCAGGUAAACUAUGGUCAUACAAUUGACAAAAAUAGAACAUCCUACCUGACGUUUUGCAUCCUUCCUUUUCUCACAUUCAUAAAUUGGGAUAACCGAUUAUUAUUUAACUUGGUGAAGAUAAAACUGUACUUCAGAACAACAGAACCAUCCUGGAAAAUUAGUCUGGUUAAUCUCUGGGGGGAGAAGAUGGCCUAAAUAUGCAGCAAAUUGUCUUAUAAAUUCUAAGGAAGAUGGCCUUGGCUUGGAAGAAAAGCAUACUGAACUUUCCCAUUGAGAUACAUUUGUUGACCACCAGCAAGCGAAAAAUGAGGCAGUGAGAGACCAUGUGCCAGAGGAGAGUAGAGGUUUGUUUGGUAUUAUAGAAUCUGUCGUAGUUGAAUCUUUUGUUGCACAUGUUUCUGGGAAUGAAAACUAAAGAAAGAAUAGCUCAUGAGAUGGAUACAACAGUGGUUCUUGGUCAAUAACAGGGGCUAUGUACAAUCUCAGUGUAAAAUGUUUCUUUUUCCUUCUCUGUGGAAGGAAGUUGAUCAUAGACGUAUGUUAUUCUGCUCUUGGUGGUGCACUUUUUUGUACAGCAAAGUACAUUGAAAUCCUUUUGGGGGGAGGCACCCCUGAUUUUUUUCGCUAGCAUUUUAGUUGUGUGAAACUUUUUUAGAGUGUCUGGAAAAUUACAAGAUGCAAUUGAGCUAUUACUUUUUUUAUUUCUUUUGAUGGAAGUGUAAGAAACUGCUGCUACCUAUCUGUUUAUAUGUAGUGUGUCUCAUUAGGAACUGUAAACUGAAGAAGCUUUUCUUCACCUUAGUCCUGCCAAAUUGUAACUUCUGAAUGUCGACAUGUGUAAAUAUGCGUGUAUUCCAAAUAAGUCUGAAAGUGUUACACCACGGGCAUCUCCAGUGAUUUGUUCUUCAGCAAACAGUUAUAAAAUGUAGUAAUAUAUAGUUGUGCUCUUUGUCUGUCAAUUUACAAAGAUUUUUGCCUGAGGUGGUAUUUACAUGACAGGUGAUGUUAGAAAGCUACAUCCAAAGGAGGAUUUUGGAGGCAAGUUCAUCUCCUUUUCCUUUUUGUUUUCGUUUACUCUUUUCCUUUUCUUUUUUUUUUUUUCUUCUAAUUUCCUUCUUGCUUAAUUAAUAGCACUGAUCUUUCCUGAAGAUUUAAACUUGAAUUUUUCCUGCACUUUAAUUCAGUCAUGGUAUUUUAUUCCUUAAUUUUGUUUCUGCAUUUGUGCGGUUCAGGUUCAUUAUUUGUAUAUAAGUACACACAUUCAGUGAAGAGUUUAGAGCAGGUUACCUUUGGGCACAUUUGCUAAUUAUGUGACUAUAAUUUAGAAUGUGUGUUUUCUUAGCAAAAUAUGUAUAUACAAGUAUAUACAACGUAGAAUCUAAUGAGAAGCACUUAUCCUGUGUCAGCAUUGAGUUUAUAAAUUACUGCAACACUUUCAGAUUUGUUACUAGAUAAUACAAUAAAAAUCUGUUAUAUUUAUACAUACUGCUUAAGAAUAUACUUUUAGUUUUAAAUAAUUUUUAUAUGUACACUUCUACCUUUAAUUUUAAAAAGACUUAUGUUCAAUUUUUAAGUCAAAGUACUUAAAGUGUGUAUAUUAUCCAUAGAAGAAGUUGUUUUAAGCUUAUGAAUACAUUCAUAUCUCAUAUCGAGAUGAUACAAUUACUAAGCAAUGACAACAAAUAGCCCAUUUUGCUUUGCAGAAAAUAAUCCUACUUAUUUUUAUUUCCCAUUUCGAACAUUCUUAAAAAUUUCCCUAAGUACAAAGGGGGAAGAUGGUGCAUUCAAAUAACCAACACAACAUCCCCUUUUUUCCUCAAGAGCUGCAGACUGUGGCUGUCCAAAUUUCUAUGAGGUUUUUUUUUUAAUUUUAAAUAAUCACAUGCAAGAAUUUUUAGACAUAUUUCUUUGGACUCCUUAAGUUCCCAAAAAAUCUAAGUGAGGUUUGUCCAAUACAGAUUUUAUUUGACUGAUGUUCAGGUCUUCUUUAUACAUCAGCUCUUUACAUGUAAAUCAUUUUUUUGUUUUGUAUUCCAAAUGUGUGUCGAAAAACCUAUAGCCUGUGACUGAAGGGCCCCUUCCUCUUUCUCAUCAUGGUUCCACAUACCCCGUAGGGAUACUGAUGGCAGCUGAAGUUCAGCAUGGGGGUACGAUGGGAAAGAUAGACAAGGACUUGCCAACCUCUGUAAGUUUACAGGGUAAUUUGUUAGUUUUCUUCAUUCUAGCUAAUUUCUUGCAUACCGUGAAAUUUUCACAUACUUUGUAGACAAAAGGAAUUAUAUUUGGAGGGGAGGGAGGAAAAAAAAUCUAUGGGGUAGGUGAAUCAACAAGUGCACUAGUCUUAUUUGAGUUUUCAUUGAGAAGCUAAUUUAAGCUGGGCCAGUUUCUCUUUCUUACGCGUGUUAUGAAGAUGUGCUAUCUAUAAUCUAUUUUAUUACUAUUCCAAGCCAAUGGGUGUACUGUGUUUCUGUGUUCUUUUACACUAAGAUUUAGGCUGAAAGGUGUUGGUGUUAGUAAAGAAGAAACAAGGCGGAAACAUACAGCAGUCAAAAGAAAGGUGUCGAUCAGCAUUCCUUUUGGUUUUUCAUGUAACACGCCUAGAAAUGUUUAAGUCAUACAGACAUAGGUUUUUUUGACACUUGCUUUUGUUUUCAUUAGUACCUAAGUUACAUAUUACCAAGCAAAAAAAAAAUAACACGAAGUUAAACUGUUUCAGUUGAAAAUAUGUAAGGAGUUGUAUGUGGAUUACCACUACCAUUCAGUUAAUAGGUGAUGCAAAGGGCGUGGGGUGGGAACAUGUUUUAAAUAUUCCCUUUUAAAAAAAGAACUGUAAAUAAGCAGUACUACGUUAUUUUAGACCUGAGCUCUGCUAUCUGUAGUGGUUAGAACUAGGAAAACAUGCUGCUUUCUAGUUAUGCUACUGCUUCAUUGUACCAGCAUCAUGGCGGGGGGGGAAGAAUCAGUAAAUUUUUCUAACAUUGCCCACCUGUGGGUAAGCAUGCUUGAAGUGUAGCAGUUCUCGUUUAUGUAUAUCUUAGUGUGUACAUGUACGUUUUUUCUUUGUUCAUUGCAACUUCUUUUUGUUUGAAUCUUGCUGAGCCCCACUAGCUCUUCUGAGGGUGAUUACUGGAAUAUGCAUUUUUAGGUAGGGUUGCAAAUCCAUCUGUCUACAAAUAUAGUUUCAUAUGAACUGCAAACUGUACUGUUACAAACACAACUAUGUUAGAUCGCAUAGAGUUAUUUUACUUACAUGUACUUGAACUGAACUAUGUCAUCAUAACAAAGUUAAAAAAAAAAUUAAGUAUGGAAUAUUUUUGUAAAUAAAAAUACCUGUGCAGCUGGUAUUUUAAAUUUAAAAUGUAUUAUACAUUAAUGUUUCAGAAAAAAAUGUUCAUAUAUGUGUAUAUGAAUGUGUCAUUAUGCUGAAGGGCUCUGAUUGGGCAAAAAUAAACUAUUCAAAUCUCUCCU